This 468-nucleotide ribosomal RNA is filed under the name uncultured bacterium. Its description in RNAcentral is "partial 16S ribosomal RNA". It matches the Rfam family "Bacterial small subunit ribosomal RNA", at positions 28 to 507 of the family's 1533-position model. The record is from RNAcentral.
GACGAACGCUGGCGGCGUGCUUAACACAUGCAAGUCGAACGGAAAGGCCCUGCUUUUGUGGGGUGCUCGAGUGGCGAACGGGUGAGUAACACGUGAGUAACCUGCCCUUGACUUUGGGAUAACUUCAGGAAACUGGGGCUAAUACCGGAUAGGAGCUCCUGCUGCAUGGUGGGGGUUGGAAAGUUUCGGCGGUUGGGGAUGGACUCGCGGCUUAUCAGCUUGUUGGUGGGGUAGUGGCUUACCAAGGCUUUGACGGGUAGCCGGCCUGAGAGGGUGACCGGCCACAUUGGGACUGAGAUACGGCCCAGACUCCCACGGGAGGCAGCAGUGGGGAAUAUUGCGCAAUGGGCGGAAGCCUGAUGCAGCAACGCCGCGUGCGGGAUGACGGCCUUCGGGUUGUAAACCGCUUUCGCCUGUGACGAAGCGUGAGUGACGGUAAUGGGUAAAGAAGCACCGGCUAACUACGUG